UACGUAGGGGGCUAGCGUUGUUCGGAUUCAUUGGGCGUAAAGGGUGCGUAGGCGGCGCGGUAAGUCGGAUGUGAAAUCCCGGAGCUUAACUUCGAAACUGCAUUCGAUACUGCCGUGCUUGAGGACUGGAGAGGAGACUGGAAUUUACGGUGUAGCGGUGAAAUGCGUAGAUAUCGUAAGGAAGACCAGUGGCGAAGGCGGGUCUCUGGACAGUUCCUGACGCUGAGGCACGAAGGUCAGGGGAGCAAACGGG
This 253-nucleotide ribosomal RNA is filed under the name uncultured bacterium. Its description in RNAcentral is "partial 16S ribosomal RNA". It matches the Rfam family "Bacterial small subunit ribosomal RNA", at positions 524 to 776 of the family's 1533-position model. The record is from RNAcentral.